GGAUGUGAGUGCGAUCUGGCUGGGACAUAUGUCACCCCAUUGAUCACCAGGGUUGAUUCAGCUGAUCUGGCUGGCUAGGCAGCUGUCCCCUUACUCCCUCACCACUCCAUGUGUGUCCCUCCCGAAGCUGCAUGCCUAAUCAAAGAGGAUGGUCUUCCCCUAAUAGAGAUGGACUGGUCUUCCAGGCAAGGGUAUAUGAGUAGCUGCACUCCCCUGCUAGAACCUCCAAACAAGCUCUCAAAAAAUGUAUCUACAAUAUGAGGCAACUACUUCUCUCCUAGGUGUCUAGCCAAAGAACAUAAAAAUACAUACAAAGAAAUCUAUGCACACCGAUAUUCACU
Molecule: unclassified non-coding RNA, 341 nt
Organism: Erinaceus europaeus (western European hedgehog)
Lineage: Eukaryota; Metazoa; Chordata; Mammalia; Eulipotyphla; Erinaceidae
Gene: 7SK
Rfam family: 7SK RNA
About the family: 7SK was discovered as an abundant small nuclear RNA in the mid-70s but a possible function has only recently been suggested. Two independent studies have found that 7SK RNA binds the CDK9/cyclin T complex (known as elongation factor P-TEFb). P-TEFb activates transcription by phosphorylating the C-terminal domain of RNA polymerase II.
Source: Ensembl